GGAAGGGGUAAACCAGGACGCGCUGCCUCUUCUGGCUGCAGGAAGCCGAUUCAUCUGGUAGGAACCCAGGGAGCCGCACUAAGAACAAGGGCCCAGUCAUUCCUCUCUCAUGUCACGUGUGCAGUAUUGAUUACCUGUGUGAAGCCCCAAAAACAUGUAAGCUGACGGACAAAUACUGCGUGAUUGUGAUAAACGGUAAUGACCCCCAGCGCCUCCUUACCACCCAGUUGGUUGUUCCUUGUUUGUCUCU
RNAcentral lists this long non-coding RNA (250 nucleotides) under Phascolarctos cinereus (koala). Its description in RNAcentral is "lncRNA (ENSPCIG00000029501.2)". Lineage: Eukaryota; Metazoa; Chordata; Mammalia; Diprotodontia; Phascolarctidae. The record is from RNAcentral.